GAGAGAUUCUGCACUGAGGGGUAUGGCUGGUACUAUAGACAAACUGGCACCAUCAUAAUUGCAUUUUUCAAAGUUGGUAUUAUUUGCAGUUUUGGCCCAGGCAAGACAUCAGGUCAAGCAAAUGUUUGUGAAAGGCAUGGACAGAGAUUCGCCUUCUGCACAGAAGAAGCAUUCCUUCUCCUCCAGGGAACUCUCCAGCCUGUCUUCAGUGUACCAAAGGCAACCUCCUCCAAGCCUUCACCAAGUCUAAUCAGACAGGCUGAGGCUGACAGGUGCCUUAUACUGAAGUUACCAGCAUGUGUCCUCAUCGACGUAUUGGAAGAAGUUGUCCUUCAAGAAGGGGAUACAGCCAUCUUCAAAUUGUCUCUGGUGUGCUCCGUGUUCAGAGACCUUGUGUCUACUGAAUAUUUCAGAAGACGAGCACACUUCAAGUGGCUUCACAUUAAGGGCUUCAGUAAAUUAUGAAAUUAUAUGUACAGUUAUUGUUGCUGUUGUCACAUGUUUUUCACUGGUAGCAUGUAAAUGUUUUUGUUGCUGUUGUUUUUUUACUUCUGCUUUCCACAGGUGUUUGCACAUGGGGCAAGUUCUCAGAAAAGUACAGAGAACAGUACUUUAACAUGUAAACUAUUGAGAUCUGCUGUCAAUGUGGAGA
Oreochromis niloticus (Nile tilapia) is the source of this 652-nucleotide long non-coding RNA. RefSeq lists it as uncharacterized. The transcript is spliced from 3 exons. The record is from RefSeq and is a predicted model, not a curated record. NCBI's taxonomy places the organism in Eukaryota, Metazoa, Chordata, Actinopteri, Cichliformes, Cichlidae.